UGGGGAAUAUUGGACAAUGGGCGCAAGCCUGAUCCAGCAAUGCCGCGUGUGUGAAGAAGGCCUUCGGGUUGUAAAGCACUUUUAUCAGGAGCGAAACGCUGUCGGCUAAUACCCGGCGGAACUGACGGUACCUGAGGAAUAAGCACCGGCUAACUUCGUGCCAGCAGCCGCGGUAAUACGAAGGGUGCAAGCGUUAAUCGGAAUUACUGGGCGUAAAGCGUGCGUAGGCGGUUUCUUAAGUCUGCUGUGAAAUCCCCGGGCUCAACCUGGGAAUGGCAGUGGAUACUGGGAGGCUAGAGUGUGUCAGAGGGUGGUGGAAUUCCCGGUGUAGCGGUGAAAUGCGUAGAGAUCGGGAGGAACAUCAGUGGCGAAGGCGGCCACCUGGGACAACACUGACGCUGAGGCACGAAAGCGUGGGGAGCAAACAGGAUUAGAUACCCUGGUAGUCCACGCCCUAAAGCGAUGCGAACUGGAUGUUGGUCUCAACUCGGAGAUCAGUGUCGAAGCUAACGCGUUAAGUUCGCCGCCUGGGGAGUACGGUCGCAAGACUGAAACUUAAAUGAAUUGACGGGGUCAUAGUUGUUUCC
This 587-nucleotide ribosomal RNA is filed under the name uncultured bacterium. RNAcentral's name for it is "partial 16S ribosomal RNA". It matches the Rfam family "Bacterial small subunit ribosomal RNA", at positions 355 to 936 of the family's 1533-position model. The record is from RNAcentral.